ACACUUACCUGGCCAAGGGAGAUUACGUGAUUCAAGAAAGGCGGUUCCACCUAGGGCGAGGCUUAGCCAUUGCACUCCGGCUCUGUGCUUGAAGGCUGUGAAUCUUCCCAAUGUUGGAAAUCUAUUGCAUAAUUUAUCGGUAGUGGGGACUGUGUCCGGG
This is a non-coding RNA of Salvelinus sp. IW2-2015, 160 nucleotides long. The record is from RefSeq and is a predicted model, not a curated record. NCBI's taxonomy places the organism in Eukaryota, Metazoa, Chordata, Actinopteri, Salmoniformes, Salmonidae.